Long non-coding RNA from Amphiprion ocellaris (clown anemonefish), 505 nucleotides. The record is from Ensembl. Lineage: Eukaryota; Metazoa; Chordata; Actinopteri; Pomacentridae.
GGAGGCACUGGAGAAGCAGAAAGUCCGGGAGAUCGCGAGAUGCUGUGAGAUCGCGAGAUUCAGUGAGAGUGACGAAAUUCAACAUGGCGGCUCCCAGCUGCUAGAUGAGAAGUAAACAAAUCGCCGUUGUCUCGACGUAUUUGUAUUAAAAAAAUAAAUAAAUAAAAAACAACAACCUAACUAAAUAGCCUGCUCAAGAUCGGAAACGGUAGUGCUCACAGUCGAGGACCUUGAGAACUUUAUUGACGACUACUUCGUCCGGUGCACCAUGGAAGACGCCAACCCGAGCAAGAGGAAGAAGGCAGAUUCCUCGACAGACACACAAGACUUGGAGGUCACGGAUAUCCAGGUGUGUAUCAGCAUGUUUCAGGCUCUGCUGUGGGUAGACAUGCCAUCAAGAUCCUGGCUGGGGAGAGGAGGAUGGUGUUUCCUACUGGCUCUGUGUCAACUCCUGGAACACUGACUGGGGUGAUAAUGAUCCGAUUUCAAGUUUUGAGAUGCAGCG